This 580-nucleotide long non-coding RNA is filed under the name Mytilus galloprovincialis (Mediterranean mussel). The record is from RNAcentral. Lineage: Eukaryota; Metazoa; Mollusca; Bivalvia; Mytilida; Mytilidae.
CUAAUUUGAAAGAAUUAAAUCAAUAAUAUUUCAGAAAAAAAAGAUAAAUGCAUAAUUCUUUUUUGAUUUACAGAUACACUUUAAUAAGCCAAAAGGUGCCUGCCAAAUUUAAACAAAUCUGUGACAUAGACUAUUUAAAGCUGUAACCUGACCUUAAUGCUUGCAACAAAAUUGUAUUAUACAGGUCAUAUUGCAGUCACCCAACCUUUUCUAUAGCAAAUAUUAAUACCCAUUUGGUAGGCUAGCUAUUGACAUACUGAUAGUGUCGGAUUUGAAGCCAAUGACACUUAUCCUUAUAAAACAUCAGGUCCUGAAUUGCAAGCAGACAAACGCAGACGAACAUUAUAAUUUCUGGAUAUAUUUGGAGCUUUCUGGUAAAAAUUUGACAAUGUACCUACGACUGUAUUUAAUAUUUACAUCAUUAAUCACAAAUACAGAUGCCAGAGGGUAUAUAUAUAUGGGCAUGACAAAACUAGUUCAACCCCGCCGCAUAUUACAUGGGCCUGUCCUAAGUCGAGAUUUAACGCUCCAGGAAAGGGACCUGGUAGGGGCUUAUGGUUGACAAAGCAAGACAAAACCA